UUAUAAAAUUUUUCUGAUUAAUAAAAUUUAUUUAUAUUAAAAAAUAUUUAAUUUAUUUAAAAUAUUAUAUUUAUAAUUAAUUAAAAAUGAAUUUUUUAGAAUAAUGAUAAAUUAAAGUAAAUAAAUUGAUUUUUUAAAUAAUAAAAAAAGUAAAAUAAUUUUUUUUACCUUUUGUAUCAGGGUUUAAAUAAAAAAUGUUAUAUUUAAAUUUCUCGAAAAAUUAAGAUUUAAAAUAAUAUAUUUAUUAUUGUAUAAAAAAUAAUAUAUAAUAUUAUUUUAGAAAGGAAAAAUUAAUCGUUUAAUUAGGAUUCUAGUUUAUGGAUAAAUUAAUUUAAUUAAAAGCUUAUUUAAAUGUAUAUUAAUUAAUUUUAAUUUGAAAUAAAAUAAGAUUAAAAUUAUAAAAAGUUUAGUUUAUAUAAUUUUUAUAUUUAAAUAUAUUAAAUUUAAUUUUAUUUAAAAUUUAAAUUUUUUAGAAUAAAUUGUUUUUUAAAAAAAUAAGUUAUUAUAAUUUUAAUUUAAAUAAAAUUAAAUUUUUAUUCAUAUAAAAAUUUAAAUAAUAAAAAUUUAAAAAUAAUUUUAAAAUUAGUAAAUUUGAAAAGAUAAAUUAUAGUAACUCGGCAAAUUAAAUUUUCGCCUGUUUAUCAAAAACAUGUCUUUAAGAUUAAAUUUAAAGUCCAAUCUGCUCACUGAAAAUUAAAGAGCCGCAGUAUUUUAACUGUGCAAAGGUAGCAUAAUCAAUAGUUUUUUAAUUGGAAACUGGAAUGAAUGAUUAAACGAAAAAUUGACUUUCUUUGAUUUAAAAAUUGAAUUUAAAUUUUAAGUUAAAAUUCUUAAUUAAACUUAAAAGACGAGAAGACCCUAUAGAUUUUUAUUAAUAAAAUUUAUAUAAUAAAAAUAUAUUUUUAUUAAUUUGAUUGGGGUGAUAUUAUUACAAAAAAAACUAAAAUUAAUAAAACCAUAAAUAAUUGAAGUUUUUGAUUUAAAUAUUUUAAAUAAAAGAUUAAAUUACCUUAGGGAUAACAGCGUAAUUUUAUUUAAGAGUUCAUAUCUAUAAUAAAGAUUGCGACCUCGAUGUUGAAUUAAGAAAUUUAUUGGAGUAGAAAUUAAUAUAAAUUAGUCUGUUCGACUAUUAAAUUCUUACAUGAUUUGAGUUCAGACCGGCGUGAGCCAGGUCAGUUUCUAUCUUUAAAUUUUUUUUUAAAAUGGGUACGAAAGGACAAUUUAAAAAUAAAAUUUAUUUAAUUUU
This 1246-nucleotide ribosomal RNA is filed under the name Ectopsocopsis cryptomeriae. RNAcentral describes it as "16S ribosomal RNA". The record is from RNAcentral. Lineage: Eukaryota; Metazoa; Arthropoda; Insecta; Psocodea; Ectopsocidae.